This 180-nucleotide ribosomal RNA is filed under the name uncultured Glomeromycotina. Its description in RNAcentral is "partial small subunit ribosomal RNA". The stretch from base 37 to 180 matches the Rfam family "Eukaryotic small subunit ribosomal RNA", at positions 684 to 830 of the family's 1831-position model. The record is from RNAcentral. Lineage: Eukaryota; Fungi; Glomeromycota.
GGAUCAAUUUACUGGUCGUGCUAUUGUACGUACUGGUUUUAUUGAUUCCUCUCUUCUGAAGAACUAUGAUGUCAUUAAUUUGGUGUCAUAGGGAAUCAGGACUGUUACUUUGAAAAAAUUAGAGUGUUUAAAGCAGGCUUACGCUUGAAUACAUUAGCAUGGAAUAAUAGAAUAGGACUU